GUCUGACUAAUAUUAAGAAGUUGGUCAAGUUUAUUAGAUAUCAACAUAACUUAUAUCUCAAAUUAAUAUAAAAAGUUCAAUAGUAAUUGAAAUAAAAACUUAAUAUUUUAACUAUUUAAAAAAAAAAACACGCUUAUUUAAUCUGUUAAUCUCCUGUAUUUAGCAUGUCAGUAAUUCAUUAAUUGCAGCCCAGUAUGCUCAUUGAAAUUGAAGUUAUCGGAAGUAAACAUAAUGUGGGAGAACAAUUGUCAUAGCAUAUUUAGGAACUUUACAAAAAAAAAUGCAUAUGCAAAGGAACAUGCAUGAACAAAACAUGUUAAUGUAAAAAAAUAUGACGUUCCUUGUGGUAGCAAGACUAGUGUCACCUUGGGCCAGAGUAACAAAAUAGGAUUCAGAUAUACAAUUAAACAAAUAUUUAAUGUCAAUUGUUCGCUUAUUCACUUCAUCCAUCUAUUUGUAAUAAUAACAAUUUGUAUAACUAAAAAUAAAGAUUUUGAUAAAUAUUUGUUUUUAACCCAUAUGAUCUCAAAACAUGUCUGGUCAGCUGGACCGUACGCGUAUACUCAUACGGUCC
This 574-nucleotide long non-coding RNA is filed under the name Mytilus galloprovincialis (Mediterranean mussel). The record is from RNAcentral. Lineage: Eukaryota; Metazoa; Mollusca; Bivalvia; Mytilida; Mytilidae.